Molecule: small RNA, 595 nt
Filed under: Pan troglodytes (chimpanzee)
Lineage: Eukaryota; Metazoa; Chordata; Mammalia; Primates; Hominidae
Description: processed transcript
Source: RNAcentral
GUUUGUUUAUUAAAAAUUAGCCUUUUUUUCUUUAUUCAUUUUUAAAGAUGUUUGGCAUAAAUAGUGACAUCUCUUUAGUUGUGUUUAAGUAUAGUGUAUCUUAUUUGUAUAUGUUGCUACACUAAAAUGAUAUACUGUCAGUUAUAGGUGAAUCAAGUGGCAUUUUAAUAAUUGAUAAUUUUUAAAAGGUAAGUAAGGUAAGUUUUAGACAUAAGACACAAAGUGAACAGACACAGUGUUUAAUAUACACGGAGACAGUGUUCUUUAUUUUGGUAUGGAGCUGGGAAAUGAUGUAAACUUUCAAAGAAACUAUAACGUCUCUUACCAUGUUAAGUUUUAAUUUUACUUUCAGUUGAAAAUCGAGUUCGUCCGUUAGUGCUGGUGAUUAAGAAGUGGGCAAGUCACCAUCAGAUAAAUGAUGCCAGUCGUGGUACUUUAAGCAGCUAUAGUCUUGUAUUGAUGGUUUUGCACUAUUUACAAAGAGUCUUUUAGUCCUGCUAUACAGCUGCACCUUGUACAUCAAGCUCCAAGUAAUGUUCCUCCUUACCUCUCAAAGAAUGAAUCAAACCUUGGGGACCUCUUACUGGGCUUUCUU